This 24-nucleotide non-coding RNA is filed under the name Drosophila melanogaster (fruit fly). The record is from RNAcentral. Lineage: Eukaryota; Metazoa; Arthropoda; Insecta; Diptera; Drosophilidae.
GAGCUUUGGUGGGAGGUGACGUUC